UAGGUACAAUGAGUUGAUGCUUGAUCUAUUUCAAGAGGAAAGUCUGGGCUACCGUAAGACAGGGUUCCAUUUAACGAAUGGCCGCAGUAAUGCGAGGGAAAGUGCAACAGAGAAUAGACCGCCAUUUAUGCUGAUUGCUCUGUACACUGAAUUGUGAAAAAGCGGAAGCUUUUUUGUACUUCAGUGCCACAGCGGCUAGCGUAGCAAUAAAGGGACUUUGUCUCUUUAUGCGUUUAAAUAAGUGGUAAGGGUGAAACGGCGGUGUAAGAGACCACCAGUAUUUAUAGUAAUAUAAGUAGCUUGUAAACCCAACCUGGUAGCAAGAAACAGAUGGUUAGCGUCUUACAAUGCUACUGUUUCGCUAGAGUUGAUUUGUAAAAAUCAAAGUAGAUUAAUAUCACUAUAACAAAACCCAGCUUACCGUUGUACCUAUCAU
Molecule: RNase P RNA, 436 nt
Filed under: Sulfurimonadaceae bacterium
Lineage: Bacteria; Pseudomonadati; Campylobacterota; Epsilonproteobacteria; Campylobacterales; Sulfurimonadaceae
Description: RNase P RNA component class A
Rfam family: Bacterial RNase P class A
About the family: Ribonuclease P (RNase P) is a ubiquitous endoribonuclease, found in archaea, bacteria and eukarya as well as chloroplasts and mitochondria. Its best characterised activity is the generation of mature 5'-ends of tRNAs by cleaving the 5'-leader elements of precursor-tRNAs.
Source: RNAcentral